RNAcentral lists this ribosomal RNA (450 nucleotides) under uncultured bacterium. RNAcentral's name for it is "partial 16S ribosomal RNA". It matches the Rfam family "Bacterial small subunit ribosomal RNA", at positions 354 to 796 of the family's 1533-position model. The record is from RNAcentral.
GUGGGGAAUAUUGGACAAUGGGGGCAACCCUGAUCCAGCCAUGCCGCGUGUGUGAAGAAGGCCUUCGGGUUGUAAAGCACUUUAAGCGGGGAGGAAGGUUCGCUGGCUAAUAUCCAGCGGAAUUGACGUUACCUGCAGAAUAAGCACCGGCUAACUCUGUGCCAGCAGCCGCGGUAAUACAGAGGGUGCAAGCGUUAAUCGGAAUUACUGGGCGUAAAGCGCGCGUAGGCGGUUGUGUAAGUUGGAGGUGAAAUCCCCGGGCUUAACCUGGGCACUGCCUUCAAAACUGCACGGCUAGAGUAUGGGAGAGGAAGGUAGAAUUCCAGGUGUAGCGGUGAAAUGCGUAGAGAUCUGGAGGAAUACCGAUGGCGAAGGCAGCCUUCUGGCCUAAUACUGACGCUGAGGUGCGAAAGCAUGGGGAGCAAACAGGAUUAGAAACCCGGGUAGUCC